This 514-nucleotide ribosomal RNA is filed under the name uncultured bacterium. RNAcentral describes it as "bacterial SSU rRNA". It matches the Rfam family "Bacterial small subunit ribosomal RNA", at positions 1001 to 1525 of the family's 1533-position model. The record is from RNAcentral.
CUGAAAGGGGUCGGCUCUACGGAGCCUGUGUCGAGGUGCUGCAUGGUUGUCGUCAGCUCGUGCCGUGAGGUGUCGGCUUAAGUGCCAUAACGAGCGUAACCCCCAUCGACAGUUGCUAACAGGUUAGGCUGAGGACUCUGUCGAGACUGCCGGCGCAAGCUGCGAGGAAGGCGGGGAUGACGUCAAAUCAGCACGGCCCUUACGUCCGGGGCGACACACGUGUUACAAUGGCAGGUACAGCGGGAAGCCACCUGGCGACAGGGAGCGGAACCCGAAAGCCUGUCUCAGUUCGGAUUGGAGUCUGCAACCCGACUCCAUGAAGCUGGAUUCGCUAGUAAUCGCGCAUCAGCCACGGCGCGGUGAAUACGUUCCCGGGCCUUGUACACACCGCCCGUCAAGCCAUGGAAGCCGGGGGUGCCUGAAGUGCGCUGCCGCAAGGAGCGCCCUAGGGUAAAACCGGUGACUGGGGCUAAGUCGUAACAAGGUAGCCGUACCGGAAGGUGCGGUUGGAUCA